Long non-coding RNA from Cuculus canorus (common cuckoo), 2606 nucleotides. RefSeq lists it as uncharacterized. Lineage: Eukaryota; Metazoa; Chordata; Aves; Cuculiformes; Cuculidae. The record is from RefSeq and is a predicted model, not a curated record. The transcript has 4 exons.
UUCCCUUUGUCAUGCCAUGCUGCCACACAGAAGUAUGCAUAGUAGAUAAGAGUUGGUGUAAAAACCACAUGUGAUGUGUUUUCAUUUCAGUUAGUUUGGAGAGUGGCUCUUUGCACAAUUUACUGCACAGACAAUAAGUACUGAGUCUGCACUGUCAGUGCAGUGGAACAAGCUGUUUCAUUUCACAGCUUUCCAAGUCAUUUAUAGCCCAUAGAAAAAUUACUUAACACAUGGUGGCAUAUGUAACUCUAUAAAGCUUUCUUUGAGAAGGAGGUGGAAGAUGGCAUUUGUAUACACAAAUAUAUCGAUACACAUACUCAAGCUAACACAAUAUGUUAGCACUCUUUUGUGUUAUAAACCUAGUAGGCACACUAUCGUGGUAGCUGAAAAUGAAAAUUUUGGUAAGAACCUGCGUAUUCCUUCCUCACAUCAUGAUUUCCAGAUUCUCCCUCAGAUUUAUACUGCAGCUCUGAGGCUCUUCAGUGAAAUAUGCUUAACGUCUUGCUCAUACCUCCCUGGAACUACAUACUGGUGAGCACAGUCGUGUGCGCGGCACAGCUUGGGUACCAGAGCAGAUGCUUCUGCACUGACUGUUCAUGAGGAAAACAGAGCUCUGAAAACAGUUUGGUUCCAUCUUCUCUAUACUAUCCCAUAAGGCACAAAAGGGGUUUUCUUAUCAAAUUGAUCACAGGAUGACAACAGGAAAAAAAGGAAAACCAGCUGGAUUAUACUGGCAAAUACCUCAGGAUGGCAGAUCUAAUUGCUCCAAUUAUUACUGGAGAGGCAGGUGAACAAAUUAAACUACUGGGCCAAUCAGGAAGAGAUGAAAGAAUAUUUCCAAAAGUUUAGAGAGUUUACCAUUUCUUCAAAUUAAUGUGAUAUUUAGAUAUUAGUAGUAUGGCUAGUCCUAGCUUAAAGGAGCAUGUAUAAAAUAGUAUAGAUAACUUAAAAAGAAAAGAAGAGAGGAGGAAUAUUGUUAUUGCCUAAGCCUGAUUUAUUGCUUAAGGUUCCCUUGUGACAGAAAAUGUAUCUGAUAUGUUUAAUUUUUGAAAUUAAAAUCUGCAUUCCCCAAAAUAAAAGAGGUGCAGUAUGAGCAGAUCCACAUGUGGCAGGCUGACUGCAAGGGCUUUCCCUACUUAUUUGCUAUUCCCUUGUGUCUCUUUUUCCCUCUGUACUGAAGUAACUACUUAAGUAAGAAAUCACCCUUGCCAGUAUUUUCUGUUUUAGAUUUUGUUGGCAUUGAUUAAACUUAUGCUGUUAAGACUACUGCACAGUAGACCGUUGUAAAACCCAGUAGCAAAAAGCAAGGUUGUGAUUUCAUAUUAAAGACAGCUUAAACAAUCCCACAUUUAAUUUUAGCCUUUUUACUUAUAGAGAUAGUAGAGAAGUCUGAAAAUACCUAAUUCUUUCAGUUAGAUCUCUUCCUGGGCAAAGAUCACAUUUUACUGAUCAAUGUCUUAUUGCACAAACUGACCUCAUCUACAUGUAAAUCAAAAUGGCAAUAAGACUACAAAUCAGAUAUUACAGGUGCUAAAAAUGCGUUUUAAAAAAGAGAUCACUAGUCUUAUAUUGUUUUAUAUGAAAAACAUAAUAUACAGCAAUUUCUUUUCCAUGUACUACUGGAUAUGAAUGCAAAACUAAAAAAUGCAGUUCAAAUACUUCUCUUUAAAUUCAUGGAUAAAUAUCCAUCACAAUUAAGUCAAAAGUUGCAUAUUUAGUCAGUACAGCAUUCUAUUGAUUCAAGAAAAAUACUUGAAUGUCCGGACUAUUUUUUGCAGGUUGUCUUACAUUUUAGUAUAUAUUAGAUUUAAAGGUUAAGUACUCCUGAGAUGUUUUAUUAGGAAGGCAGUAAAUGGCAAAAAUAGCGUUUAACGUGUGCUAGAACAAAAUACAUAAGUGCUCCCUGCGGUUUUGAGACACUGCUCUGAAAAGGCCUUGAGAAGAAUUGGAUUGGACCUUGGUGCAGAAACAUGGAACUAUUCCAAUAUAACAGAAAUUCUCAGCUAUUGUGAGAAAGUGCUGGCUCUGACUCGGGCAUUUAUUGCUUAUCUAUAUACUGCCUGUGUGAAUGAGUGAGGGAUUAUGUUGUAGGAGACAGGAAUUUUCUUUUCAGAAGAUUAAGUUCAGUUUAAUAACAUAUAAGAAAAAUAAACACAUUAGUGUAUAAUUUGUAAAUUAAUUGGAGACUACUUUUUCGUAACGUUGGGCAUGUGCAUAAUCUUGGGCAUGUGUAUUUACAUUUCCUCUGUCCAUUCAUUUUCUGACACAAACAUAGAUGUGAGUAGUUUUAUGACAUUUAAUGAUACUUUGAUUUUUUCAUGGAAAUAGAAUCACUAUGGUUGGAGAAGAACUCUAAGGCCUUCAAGUCCAACUGUCAGCCCAACACCAUCAUGCCUAUUAAACCAUCUCCCAAAGUGCCACGUCUAAAAUUUUUUUUAACAUCCCCAGAGAGGUUGACUCCACUACUUCCCCGGGCAACCUGUUCGGAUGUUUCACCACUCUUUCCGUAAAGAAAUUUUUCCUAAUCCCCAGUCUAAACCUCCCCUGGUGCAACUUGAAGCUGUUUCCUGAAUCUUAUUGCUAGUUAGUUGGGAGAAGAGACCAAC